GUGGCUUCGUGGUUAGAGCGUCCACCUCGGCUGCGGAAGGUCGCUGGUUAGAAUCUCGGCAAAGUCG
Molecule: non-coding RNA, 67 nt
Organism: Potamilus streckersoni
Lineage: Eukaryota; Metazoa; Mollusca; Bivalvia; Unionida; Unionidae
Source: the annotation of a GenBank genome assembly